This 235-nucleotide ribosomal RNA is filed under the name uncultured Candidatus Saccharibacteria bacterium. Its description in RNAcentral is "partial 16S ribosomal RNA". It matches the Rfam family "Bacterial small subunit ribosomal RNA", at positions 584 to 818 of the family's 1533-position model. Lineage: Bacteria; Candidatus Saccharimonadota. The record is from RNAcentral.
UAAGUUGGUAGUGAAAGCGUUCGGCUCAACCGAAUAUCCAUUAUCAAAACUGCAAAGCUAGAGGAUGAGAGAGGUUAUUGGAAUUCCCAGUGUAGGAGUGAAAUCCGUAGAUAUUGGGAGGAACACCGAUGGCGUAGGCAGAUAACUGGCUCAUUCCUGACACUAAGGCACGAAAGCGUGGGGAGCAAACGGGAUUAGGUACCCCGGUAGUCCACGCCGUAAACUAUGGAUGCUA